Molecule: long non-coding RNA, 925 nt
Organism: Helianthus annuus (common sunflower)
Lineage: Eukaryota; Viridiplantae; Streptophyta; Magnoliopsida; Asterales; Asteraceae
Exons: 3
Source: RefSeq, a predicted model, not a curated record
ACUUAAAAUAAAAAGGGUUAUAACUCUCGAAACCCACUAAGUAACUAGGAAUAUCAACCUAGUUAAUUAUGUGGUUUGAAAACAAUAAAGAAAACUUGGUUUAUAAUCCUUUUGAUAACUCUAAAAACUUGAGGGACUAAAAGUGUUAAAUGAGAAAAUAGUUUUAAUUUAAUAAAAAUCAAAACACCAAAACACACACUCAUGUGUGUGUUCUGGUCGUGGUUUACACAGGAGCCAAAAAGGGUUUUUAUCAAAACCCUAAAUCACAAGAAAUUCAGCCAAAUCAAGGGAAAUCAAGCUAGGAAAUUGGGGCUUUUAAUAAAUUAGUGAUCACCAAACCUAGGGGAUUACAAGUUUGACGCCUAACAAGCUAGGUGGAAGCUUGUGGAUGAAGCGGGUCAAACGGAGCGCGUACGGAAAGAAAGGCGUGGCAUGGAUGCAAGGUGUAAAUGUCAAAUGGGUAUUAGCAACGCUAUGAAUUAGCGGUUAUAAAAGCAAGGUAUUAAAAACGGGUCAAUAUAUUGAUCUGCGCCAGGUAUGUGAAAAAGGGUAACCCUCAUUGUGGUUCAAAGAGUGUUAAAAGUAGUCAAGGUGAACAUUUGGUUACUUGAUAAGUAAACCAAAUGUUUUAGGUAAGGAACAUUGUAUUUGGAAAGCUUAAUGACUUUUCAAACAAAAUCAUAGGUUAAAAGAGGGAUUACGGGUCAAAAUAAGCAUACGAGUGAAAACAGGUUUAAAUUGUGUAAUAAACCUGUGAUUAUAACCUAAUAUGGUAAAUAACCUUAAUUUGAAGUAGUGUACGUGAUAUAAAGGUUAAACAAGUAUGUUUGUUUGAUAAACGUAUAAACGGGUCAAAAUUUUGGUAAAAGAGUAAUAAGCCGAAGACUUAAAAGUCUUAAAUUUUAUUAAUCCGGAUGUUGGAUUU